RNAcentral lists this long non-coding RNA (821 nucleotides) under Mytilus galloprovincialis (Mediterranean mussel). Lineage: Eukaryota; Metazoa; Mollusca; Bivalvia; Mytilida; Mytilidae. The record is from RNAcentral.
GGGGGAUGAAUCGAGUGACUUUAAUUUACUGUUCCUUCAGAGUGAUUUCAAUAGAACACUGGUUAAGAAGUGAUUUCUGAUUGGAAACCCCUCCCUGUUAGACAUCCAAUAUCAGAAUAUUAAUCUUUUUAUUUAAUGACCAGGACUAAUCAUUGAUUCAACUCCAUUGCAGGUUGUCAAAUUUUGCAGAUCUAGAUCAUUUCAAUCUUUUUGUCAGAAUAUAACUAUUUCAACAAAUUCAAAUUCAGAUAACUUUUUUGUUGUAAUCUGGUUCAGCAAGGGGUCCUGCUGUCCAGCACAAGAUCAUUUAUGAAGGAAAUCAGAUCAAAUCUAUAUUUUUUAUGCCCCACUUACGAUAGUAGAGGGGCAUUAUGUUUUCUGGUCUGUGCAUUCGUCCGUCUGUCUGUACCAUGAAUAAAUGCAUUGCAUUUUUGUCAGGAACUACUUGCCAAGGAUUUCAAAAUUUGGUGUUAGGAUUUAUAUAAGUCAGCUACUUGUAUACCCAGUGAUGUGUUUUCCAAAUUCAUCAUUAUGAAUUCAGGGAAAGAAGAAGUCAUUAUCAUCACUGUAAAAGUGUUUGGAUUUGUUGGUAUAUAUCACCAUUAUCACUGACAAGGUCAAUUGGCUAUAAAUACCUUGUGUGCUAUAAAUGGUAAGGAACAUGUGUACUAAGUUUUAAGUUGAUUAGACUUCAGCUUCAUCAAAAACUACCUUGACCAAAAACUUUAACCUGAAGUGGGAUGAACGGAUGCAAAGACGAAUGGAGGAACAGACGGACUGACGGAUGGACAGACAGAGGUAAAACAGUUUACCCCCCCUCC